Molecule: transfer RNA, 70 nt
Filed under: Camelus ferus (Wild Bactrian camel)
Lineage: Eukaryota; Metazoa; Chordata; Mammalia; Artiodactyla; Camelidae
Rfam family: tRNA
About the family: Transfer RNA (tRNA) molecules are approximately 80 nucleotides in length. Their secondary structure includes four short double-helical elements and three loops (D, anti-codon, and T loops). Further hydrogen bonds mediate the characteristic L-shaped molecular structure. tRNAs have two regions of fundamental functional importance: the anti-codon, which is responsible for specific mRNA codon recognition, and the 3' end, to which the tRNAs corresponding amino acid is attached (by aminoacyl-tRNA synthetases). tRNAs cope with the degeneracy of the genetic code in two manners: having more than one tRNA (with a specific anti-codon) for a particular amino acid; and 'wobble' base-pairing, i.e. permitting non-standard base-pairing at the 3rd anti-codon position.
Source: Rfam by way of RNAcentral
CAAGGUAGCUCCAUGGUAGAGUGUGUGCUUAGCAAGCACGAGGUCCUGGGCUCAAUCCCCAGUACCUUCA